GUGUGCUCCCGCGUAGCUUAUGGUUGCUCCCGCGUAUCCUGCCGUAUUACCAGAGUUCGCCGUCCUGUCGAUUCAAUGCACCUCCUGAAACACGACGCACCUCAUUGUAGAUAACCUUCACUGGGGCCGUUACAUACUGAACGGCGUAACGUCAACAAUCGACGAAACGUUCGCCGUGGCUGGCUCGCAAAAAAUGCAACGUCACAACAUAAUAUAAACAGUUCAUAAACGAAUCGGACUCUGCAUUCAACGAAACAUGAUAGACGUGUUGCACGAGUGCCGACGCCGACGUCACUAACAUCUAACAACCACACGUUCGACCGUCAAAGGUAACACUGGCUGGCGAACCGGCGACG
Molecule: long non-coding RNA, 356 nt
Organism: Pararge aegeria (speckled wood butterfly)
Lineage: Eukaryota; Metazoa; Arthropoda; Insecta; Lepidoptera; Nymphalidae
Exons: 3
Source: RefSeq, a predicted model, not a curated record